GACGAACGCUGGCGGCGUGCUUAACACAUGCAAGUCGAACGGAAAGGCCCUGCUUUUGUGGGGUGCUCGAGUGGCGAACGGGUGAGUAACACGUGAGUAACCUGCCCUUGACUUUGGGAUAACUUCAGGAAACUGGGGCUAAUACCGGAUAGGAGCUCCUGCUGCAUGGUGGGGGUUGGAAAGUUUCGGCGGUUGGGGCUGGACUCGCGGCUUAUCAGCUUGUUGGUGGGGUAGUGGCUUACCAAGGCUUUGACGGGUAGCCGGCCUGAGAGGGUGACCGGCCACAUUGGGACUGAGAGACGGCGCAGAGUCCUACGGGAGGCAGCAGUGGGGAAUAUUGCACAAUGGGCGGAAGCCUGAUGCAGCAACGCCGCGUGCGGGAUGACGGCCUUCGGGUUGUAAACCGCUUUCGCCUGUGACGAAGCGUGAGUGACGGUAAUGGGUAAAGAAGCACCGGCUAACUACGUG
Molecule: ribosomal RNA, 468 nt
Filed under: uncultured bacterium
Lineage: Bacteria
Description: partial 16S ribosomal RNA
Rfam family: Bacterial small subunit ribosomal RNA
Source: RNAcentral